UCGAACGGUAGCACAAGGGAGCUUGCUCCCUGGGUGACGAGUGGCGGACGGGUGAGUAAUGCUUGGGAAUCUGGCUUAUGGAGGGGGAUAACUACGGGAAACUGUAGCUAAUACCGCGUAAUAUCUUAGGAUUAAAGUGUGGGACCGCAAGGCCACAUGCCAUGAGAUGAGCCCAAGUGGGAUUAGGUAGUUGGUGGGGUAAAGGCCUACCAAGCCGACGAUCUCUAGCUGGUCUGAGAGGAUGACCAGCCACACUGGAACUGAGACACGGUCCAGACUCCUACGGGAGGCAGCAGUGGGGAAUAUUGCACAAUGGGGGGAACCCUGAUGCAGCCAUGCCGCGUGAAUGAAGAAGGCCUUCGGGUUGUAAAGUUCUUUCGGUAGCGAGGAAGGUAUCAAAUUUAAUAGAUUUGGUAAUUGACGUUAACUACAGAA
RNAcentral lists this ribosomal RNA (435 nucleotides) under Actinobacillus equuli. RNAcentral's name for it is "bacterial SSU rRNA". It matches the Rfam family "Bacterial small subunit ribosomal RNA", at positions 62 to 486 of the family's 1533-position model. The record is from RNAcentral. Lineage: Bacteria; Pseudomonadati; Pseudomonadota; Gammaproteobacteria; Pasteurellales; Pasteurellaceae.